This is a long non-coding RNA of Mustela erminea (ermine), 713 nucleotides long. RefSeq lists it as uncharacterized. Lineage: Eukaryota; Metazoa; Chordata; Mammalia; Carnivora; Mustelidae. The transcript has 3 exons. The record is from RefSeq and is a predicted model, not a curated record.
UAGAGGAGGUCCUGGCAUGGAAGAUGAGGCUUGUCUAGUUCAUGGCUAUCCAGACCUUUGGGUUGGCACCAACUAUAACCUAAAGUUUGUUAAACCUCCAAAAACCAUGAAGAUAUUUAAUCCUGUUUGAACAGAAAGAGGAUGCUCUCUUACAGGCUGAAGGAGAGGUACCUGCCCACAACUCUGACUGGCUGUAGUUUCUCUGGAGUUUCUCUGGAGUGCCUGUCACAGUCACAGAACAUGGUCAUGGAAACCAGAAGACCCAGAAGAUGGCACAAGGGCAAAGACAACAAUGAAUAGAGAGCCAGCAAGCCUGCCAUGAGGCUAUCUUGGCUUGGGGUAAGGUGACCCAGCUGAAGAAGCUGAGGGAUGGAGAGACAAGUGUCUGGGAAACAAUACGACUGUUGGCCACAAGAGAACCAAGGUGGGACCAAGUCAAUCAUGCCCAAAAGAUGUGGGCUCUGAGAAUAAUUCAGAGGAAACUAAAAUGUCAUUAAGUAAUAAGUUUAAGUCUUGGCCCUUCAGCAGAAUGGAGCUGGUGGAGGUCAUACCAGUGUUGGAAAAAUAAAGAAGUCAGCCCUAUGCCUGAUCCAUAAAUAUACAGAAUGCAAAGCCAUAUGAUCUCCUGAAGUUCAUUUGCUCACUGACAUUAGGUCAAUAUUGUUCCCUCUGUGGAGAGGCUCAGAAAUGUAGGCGGUUGCACCAGGGUCGAG